RNA transcript from Olea europaea var. sylvestris, 1168 nucleotides. It is a transcript of the gene named NAD(P)H-quinone oxidoreductase subunit M, chloroplastic, with no coding region annotated. NCBI's taxonomy places the organism in Eukaryota, Viridiplantae, Streptophyta, Magnoliopsida, Lamiales, Oleaceae. The transcript has 4 exons. The record is from RefSeq and is a predicted model, not a curated record.
AUGUGGGGGUUAAAGUGUGUUCACAAAUAAGUUCUUUAUCCACAAUUGUUUGAGGAGGUGAAACGUUAGCCUUUCAUUCAUCCAAGCUUUGGAAAACCCAGAAAGUGCAGAAUUGUGAACAAAUCAUCACCAACAAGCCAUGGCAGCAACUUCAACCUGUAUGGCUUCAACUACCUUCUCCAUGCUGGGAUGGAGAAGUAGCAAAAGGGAAGUAAGAAAAAAAAGUGUAUUCUCAGUUUCAUCUCAGCAAGCAGAAGUCGAAGAACAAGUGAAAACCGAAGAAGCAACAAAAGAAAAGGACACGAAACAGCAGGCAACGACACCCCUAAGGCCAAUCGAACCACAGGUGAAUGUGAAGAGCAAAAAUAUGGGCAGAGAAUAUGGUGGACAGUGGCUGAGCAGUGCCACCAGACAUGUUAGGAUUUAUGCAGCCUAUAUCGACCCUGAAACAUGCGAAUUCGACCAAACACAGAUGGAUAAACUCACUCUCAUCCUUGACCCUACUGAUGAGUUUGUGUGGACAGAUGAAACCUGCAACAAAGUUUACUCCUAUUUUCAAGAACUUGUGGAUCAUUACGAGGGAGCCCCGUUGACUGAAUAUACCCUUCGAUUGAUUGGUUCUGAUAUAGAACACUACAUCAGGAAGCUGCUUUAUGAAGGAGAAAUCCAAUACAACAUGAAUGCAAGGAUGUUGAACUUCAGCAUGGGAAAACCGCGCAUUGGAUUUAACUACAACGAUGGCCAAAUCCAAGAUGUACAAUAGCCAACAGAGGCACCUUGAGGCAUUGAAGCCAAAGAGUGGAAGAUGUUCAAUCCUACCUCGCCUGCAGUCACCAAACGACGACGGCACAUAAUAAAGGUGGAGGAUUAUGGACGAUUCAUAUCAUUCUCAGACAGAUACCUUCUCUCAUUCGACCGUGAUAUUGUUUCCCAUACUUCUCUAGAGGGAAACCAAGUUGCCAAAUUUACUUGCUUCUGAGGGUUGAGAUCAAUGCCAUUAUGAGUAUGGACCUCUUGAGUUUCCACGACAACUUCAAGCUCUUGUUCAGAUUGACAAAUGUGGACUUCCUAGUAUUAAAUGACGUUAGUUUGCUUCACACCUUUCAUUUACUUAUUUAUGUGUAUGAAGUAGUACUUCCUCAUUUAUUUCAUUCUUACAUAUGUUCUA